Molecule: ribosomal RNA, 494 nt
Filed under: marine sediment bacterium ISA-7105
Lineage: Bacteria
Description: bacterial SSU rRNA
Rfam family: Bacterial small subunit ribosomal RNA
Source: RNAcentral
CAUGCAAGUCGAGCGCGAACGGUCCUUCGGGACUUAUUAGAGCGGCGGACGGGUGAGUAAUGCAUAGGAAUCUGCCCAGUAGUGGGGGAUAGCCCGGGGAAACCCGGAUUAAUACCGCAUACGUCCUACGGGAGAAAGCAGGGGAUCUUCGGACCUUGCGCUAUUGGAUGAGCCUAUGUCGGAUUAGCUUGUUGGUGGGGUAACGGCCCACCAAGGCGACGAUCCGUAGCUGGUCUGAGAGGAUGAUCAGCCACACUGGGACUGAGACACGGCCCAGACUCCUACGGGAGGCAGCAGUGGGGAAUAUUGCACAAUGGGGGAAACCCUGAUGCAGCCAUGCCGCGUGUGUGAAGAAGGCCUUCGGGUUGUAAAGCACUUUCAGUAGGGAGGAAGGCCUGUAAGUUAAUACCUUGCAGGAUUGACGUUACCUACAGAAGAAGCACCGGCUAACUCCGUGCCAGCAGCCGCGGUAAUACGGAGGGUGCGAGCGUUAA